Molecule: ribosomal RNA, 480 nt
Filed under: uncultured bacterium
Lineage: Bacteria
Description: bacterial SSU rRNA
Rfam family: Bacterial small subunit ribosomal RNA
Source: RNAcentral
GGCGGCAUGCUUAACACAUGCAAGUCGAACGGUAACAGGUCUAGCUUGCUAGAUGCUGACGAGUGGCGGACGGGUGAGUAACGCGUGGGAAUCUGCCUUCUAGGUGGGGGAUAGCCCGGAGAAAUCCGGAUUAAUACCGCAUACGCCCUACGGGGGAAAGCCGGGGGAUCUUCGGACCUGGCGCUAGUAGAUGAGCCCGCGUGAGAUUAGCUUGUUGGUGGGGUAAUGGCCUACCAAGGCAACGAUCUCUAGCUGGUCUGAGAGGACGAUCAGCCACACUGGGACUGAGACACGGCCCAGACUCCUACGGGAGGCAGCAGUGGGGAAUAUUGGACAAUGGGCGAAAGCCUGAUCCAGCAAUGCCGCGUGUGUGAAGAAGGCCUGAGGGUUGUAAAGCACUCUCAAUCGUGAAGAAAAGUUGCAGGCUAAUACCCUGUGACCUUGACGUUAACGAUACAAGAAGCACCGGCUAACUCCGUG